AGAAUGCCAUGCAGACCUAAAAAUACACCACAGCUGCCACUAUUACCCAUGGUCCCUCAUUUUCCCAGGAAAAUUAAGAGAGUUAGCGUCUCUACCCCCACCUGAAAUAGCAGUGUCAAACCACAAUUAUUUCCUAUCCAUUAUAAGAGAGAGUGCAUGCCACUACUGGAGCAAGUGGUUUUUGACUUAAGAACACCAAUGGGAGCUUCCUGAGGCAGGAGACAAGCAUCUUCCCUGGAUGCAGACUGCCUGCCCUGCUUUGCUACUUCACUGCCAUGGUUGAUCUUAGUACUGUAUUUUAAAUGUGCCCCUCCCUUCCCAACAAUGAACAUUUGCCUGGCUUCAGGAUGGAAGACAAAUCUUAAAUGAAACUGGCAAAUUCUUAUCACUCAAUUCACAUCACCCUUAAGUAGAGACAGGUGACAAACUUCAGCUUGUAGGUUUCUCACCCAAACAUGUUCCUUUGCCCAAAAUUCUUGCACUGGUGGGUUUCCAUCACAUCAUGUCUAUAAAUGGGUGCACUUUACUGUUUGAAUUUGUAACUCUGAUAAAUACUGGAUAUUUAAGUGUGAGUAAUGUCUUCAUUAGAAAUUAGAGUCACUCUUGUCUCUAGUGUGUUUUUUCAAGAAAAAAAGAUACAAGGAAAGAAAUCAAGCAGUGGGCCACAGCAUUUAUAGCACAGAAAUAACGUUGUAUAUAAGCCUCAAAGAGUAAGGAUUUUUAAACACAAGAAAACAUUUGCAGUGAUUUUAAAGUGCUUUUCCAGCAAUUUUCUUAGGGACUCCUGAGACAUGGUUCAUUUAUUUACUGGAUCAGUAAGGCACACAAGUAACAAUUAAAAUUAUUGUUUAUUUACAAAGUAAAGGGAAAACCUCUGUAACAUGAGAAUUCGGCAUGGACAAAUGGAGAUCAUUUUGUAUCUGCUGUUGUGUCUGUCCAGGUUGCAGUCGUGCACUAUUAGUCCCGAGUUAAUAGAGCACAACCCCCUCUCGUUCCAGGUGCCCCUUUCUAGAUGUGUUUAACUUAAACUUGAUGGCUCAGGAAAAUUCCACUCAUUAGAAUUGUGUACAGUAUCCCAGGUUGUUGCCCAGAUAUCCAAGUUUGCUGAUUUUAGUUAAGCCUGGAUUAUCACUUUUCCUAAAUUAUUAUAAACAGAACAGCUUAGAGAAAGGUGUUCUCCUCCCUUAUAUUGUAUAGUAGUUUAUGAUUCCCUCUAAAUAUUGGUAUUUUUAUAUUUCAGAGAUAUACCCAAUAGAAAAAUUUUAAACCAGUAUCUAAUUUAAUAUCCAUAAGUAUUUUUCCUUAGAGUUUAGUCAUAUGCAGUGGGAUAUGUGGAUGUCACUUGUGCUUCACCGUACUCUACCACUAGGUGUCACUGUGACCCUGCAUCAUACUUACCUGGUUACAAAGAAUGGCUUCGUGGAGCUGCUGCCAGUGCAGCUGGCAAGGGGGCCCUACAGACUAGAGGUUCAGGAAGAAGGGAACACAAGCCUGAGGGGGCUUCCUGCAGCCAUGCCCCUGUAGCAAGGCAGACUCUGGACACCACGUUUGCGAGGUUACAUUGCGCUCCCUUUCUCCCCGUUAGAAACCGUUCCUCUCAGUUCACUCAGCCUCCGGCUUUUAUAACUCCAGAAGAAUCACAGUUGGGUGGUUGAUUAAAGAUGGUUAUUUUUCUACUGCAGAAAUGCCUUGGACAAAACCAGUUGCUCACUGAAUCUUUGCCACACAAUGGAACAGGCUCCCCAGGUGGCAGGAUAUGCUGCCUCUGUGCCCAUCUCUUGUUGAGGCUCUGAGCGCUCAGCAGCCCCACCCACCCUACCUGUCUGCCCUCAGGCUGCCCAGUUCUCAAGAAGGGGUCUGCUACCGCCUUUACUCUGAGGGCCAUACUGCCCUGCCUCGUGCUUGUUGAGAGGUGUGACUUCUCCUUUUCCUCUGGGAAUUCCAGACUGACCAUCUACCAUGACUAACAAUGAACAAAGGGCUUAGGGUAAGAGCUACCUACAAAGACGCGUCAUGGAAACCUUCACCAUGCAAUGCCUUGAACUCAGCUCUGGCUGCUCCCAAGAAAAGGCAGCUGGCUAGGGGCCUGGACACAAGCACAACGGGGCUGGUGGAGCCACUGUGCAGAGCUACUUGAAUAUUCACUGGGUCUUCAUCAACUCUUUUUGUAAUACAGACCACUCAAGGGCUGAAGUGUUGGUAACCUUCAUUUCGGUGUCCAAUGCCUCACAGCAGCUGAGCCACCCUGAGAUGCUUGUGGCCACGUGAUGGCCACAGUCAGAGCUUUGAAAGUCAGUACCAAAUGAACGUAUAAUUGGACACCAAAAAUCAAGUGUUACUCUCAUGUUUCCUCACCCUGUCAUCUCAUUUCUUCCUGCUGACUAUCGUGAUCCCUACACUAAGCUGACCAGUCAGGCUACAGCUGGCUGCACGCAGAUGCCAGCCAGCACCAUCUCCUGGUUUCAGAUAGACCUACUCCGUGGGAAGAACGUGGCCUAGCUGCUUUGUUUCUGUAGCACUUGAUGGCUGGAUUUUUUCCUUUGCUAAUCACUAACCAGAAAAUCUGGCUAGGACUCAACUCACUCCCUUCAAUCCCCAGGACCAGACAGAGAGUUAAUUCUGGAAAAUUCCGUACUUGAAUGUACCUGCCUUACUGUGUACCCAUUCACUGGGGGAGGGGGGAUUAGAGAUGUUGGCUCUAGAUAUCCACUUCAUUCAAAGUUAUUUUGGAAAUCCUGUAAGUUCUACUUCCUGUCCUGCUUUGCUUUCCUUUGCUUUGCUUUGCUUUGCUUUGCUUUGCUUUGCUUUGCUUUGCUUUGCUUUGCUUUGCUUGUUUGUUUUGUUCCUGACAUUUGACUGAUUCCUGCUGAGUUGGGCCGUUCCCUGUGGGGCCCAGGGCAGGUGCCAUUCUCAGGCAUGGCCUCCCUUCCAUCUAGCACAGCAUCUGUCCCUCUGUUCUGUCUCCUCCAACCCAAGACGAUUUUAAUUAGUACAGACAUGUACAGUCUACAAUUAAAGAGUGAUUUGUACUAAUAUGAUUUUGAUUAUUCCUCUUUGCUGUCCUUUCAAGACACUUGCUGGAAAAAGCUUUAAUGCACUUAGUUUUCCUUUAGGUUUUCUAUAACUCAGAUGUAAAGGACUUUCUCUGUACAGUAUAUUAUCCAAUGCAUGUUUGUUCUCUAUCCUGAUAUAUCAAACACCACACGGUCGUGAACUCGUGCAGUGGGGAUGGCCCACACCCAGCGGAGGCCUCCAGCCCCGUGAAUAAGGAAGACAUUUUCUCUACUGUACUUGCUUGAACAGUUUUAUUGUCUGUACAUGUGAGCUGUGUGAGAUAGAUGUGAAAAGUUCAAAUGAAUGCAUUUUCCUGCCCCAUGUAUACAGAGCGUCAUCUGUACAAUGAACUGUAUGUAUGAAAGCAAAUGUACGUAUUUAUAAAUGGUCAACACUUG
Molecule: long non-coding RNA, 3452 nt
Filed under: Mus musculus (house mouse)
Lineage: Eukaryota; Metazoa; Chordata; Mammalia; Rodentia; Muridae
Description: long non-coding RNA chr11:105925846-105929298
Source: RNAcentral